RNAcentral lists this ribosomal RNA (468 nucleotides) under uncultured bacterium. RNAcentral describes it as "partial 16S ribosomal RNA". It matches the Rfam family "Bacterial small subunit ribosomal RNA", at positions 28 to 507 of the family's 1533-position model. The record is from RNAcentral.
GACGAACGCUGGCGGCGUGCUUAACACAUGCAAGUCGAACGGAAAGGCCCUGCUUUUGUGGGGUUCUCGAGUGGCGAACGGGUGAGUAACACGUGAGUAACCUGCCCUUGACUUUGGGAUAACUUCAGGAAACUGGGGCUAAUACCGGAUAUGAGCUCCUGCUGCAUGGUGGGGGUUGGAAAGUUUCGGCGGUUGGGGAUGGACUCGCGGCUUAUCUGCUUGUUGGUGGGGUAGUGGCUUACCAAGGCUUUGACGGGUAGCCGGACUGGGUGGGUGACAGGCCACACUGGGACUGAGAUACGGCCGAGAGUACUACGGGAGGCAGCAGUGGGGAAUAUUGCACCAUGGGCGGAAGCCUGAUGCAGCAACGCCGCGUGCGGGAUGACGGCCUUCGGGUUGUAAACAGCUUUCGCCUGUGACGAAGCGUGAGUGACGGUAAUGGGUAAAGAAGCACCGGCUAACUACGUG